GUACACUCCUGCGGGAGGCAGCAGUGGGGAAUAUUGGACAAUGGGCGCAAGCCUGAUCCAGCCAUGCCGCGUGAGUGAUGAAGGCCCUAGGGUUGUAAAGCUCUUUCACCGGUGAAGAUAAUGACGGUAACCGGAGAAGAAGCCCCGGCUAACUUCGUGCCAGCAGCCGCGGUAAUACGAAGGGGGCUAGCGUUGUUCGGAUUUACUGGGCGUAAAGCGCACGUAGGCGGACUAUUAAGUCAGGGGUGAAAUCCCGGGGCUCAACCCCGGAACUGCCUUUGAUACUGGUAGUCUUGAGUUCGAGAGAGGUGAGUGGAAUUCCGAGUGUAGAGGUGAAAUUCGUAGAUAUUCGGAGGAACACCAGUGGCGAAGGCGGCUCACUGGCUCGAUACUGACGCUGAGGUGCGAAAGCGUGGGGAGCAAACAGGAGUAGAAACCCCAGUAGUCCCAUG
Molecule: ribosomal RNA, 452 nt
Filed under: uncultured organism
Description: partial 16S ribosomal RNA
Rfam family: Bacterial small subunit ribosomal RNA
Source: RNAcentral